RNAcentral lists this non-coding RNA (71 nucleotides) under Helicotheca tamesis. The record is from RNAcentral. Lineage: Eukaryota; Bacillariophyta; Thalassiosirophyceae; Lithodesmiales; Lithodesmiaceae.
AACAAUCGAAAAAAAGCCAAACAAGUAUGUAUUUAUUUGUCUUUCUCAUUGUUUUUGUUUUCUUCUUCCUC